AGGACGAACGCUGGCGGCGUGCUUAACACAUGCAAGUCGAGCGGAAAGGCCCUUCGGGGUACUCGAGCGGCGAACGGGUGAGUAACACGUGGGCAACCUGCCCCUAGCUCUGGGAUAACUCCGGGAAACCGGUGCUAAUACCGGAUACGACCUCAUUAGGCAUCCUUUGAGGUGGAAAGAUUUAUCGGCUAGGGAUGGGCCCGCGGCCUAUCAGCUUGUUGGUGGGGUAACGGCCUACCAAGGCGACGACGGGUA
RNAcentral lists this ribosomal RNA (255 nucleotides) under uncultured bacterium. RNAcentral's name for it is "partial small subunit ribosomal RNA". It matches the Rfam family "Bacterial small subunit ribosomal RNA", at positions 26 to 285 of the family's 1533-position model. The record is from RNAcentral.